Molecule: ribosomal RNA, 253 nt
Filed under: uncultured bacterium
Lineage: Bacteria
Description: partial 16S ribosomal RNA
Rfam family: Bacterial small subunit ribosomal RNA
Source: RNAcentral
UACGAAGGGGGCGAGCGUUGUUCGGAUUUACUGGGCGUAAAGGGCGCGCAGGCGGCUAUCCAAGUCAGGCGUGAAAGCCCCGGGCUUAACCUGGGAGGUGCGUCUGGGACUGGGUGGCUAGAGUUCGGGAGAGGAGAGUGGAAUUCCCAGUGUAGAGGUGAAAUUCGUAGAUAUUGGGAAGAACACCGGUGGCGAAGGCGGCGACCUGGUCCUUGACUGACGCUGAGGCGCGAAAGCGUGGGGAGCAAACAGG